Molecule: microRNA precursor, 110 nt
Organism: Cricetulus griseus (Chinese hamster)
Lineage: Eukaryota; Metazoa; Chordata; Mammalia; Rodentia; Cricetidae
Source: Ensembl
CCAAAGUUUACAAGUAGGAUUUCAGUAUUAAUUGUUUUUACUGUUCAUGUAGCUUAAUAAAGCAAAAUACUGAAAAUGCUUAGAUGGAUUUUUAAUCCCAUAGACAUAAA